AUGGUGUCGCUGAAGCUGCAGAAGCGCCUGGCCUCGAGCGUCCUCAAGUGCGGCAAGGGCAAGGUCUGGCUCGACCCCAAUGAGGUCAACGAGAUCUCCAUGGCCAACUCCCGGCAGAACAUCCGAAAGCUGGUAAAGGAUGGUUUCAUCAUCAGGAAGCCUCAGAAGAUCCACUCCAGGUCUCGUGCAAGGAGGGCACAUGAGGCCAAGCAGAAGGGCCGUCACUCUGGAUAUGGUAAGCGUAGGGGUACCAGGGAGGCUAGGCUCCCCACCAAGAUCCUGUGGAUGCGGAGGAUGCGCGUCCUGAGGCGCCUUCUGCGCAAGUACCGUGAGGCCAAGAAGAUCGACAAGCACAUGUACCAUGACAUGUACCUGAAGGUCAAGGGUAACAUGUUCAAGAACAAGAGGGUCCUCAUGGAGAGUAUCCACAAGUCCAAGGCUGAGAAGGCAAGAGAGAAGACCCUCUCUGAUCAGUUUGAGGCGAAGCGCGCCAAGAGCAAGGCUAGCAGGGAGAGGAAGCAUGCCAGGAGGGAGGAGAGAUUGGCUCAGGGCCCCAGAGAUCAUGCACCAGCACCAGCGGCUGCAGCUCCAGCUCCGGCAGCAGCGGCACCAAAGAAGGCCAAGGCCAAGAAGUGA
This 636-nucleotide ribosomal RNA is filed under the name Triticum aestivum (bread wheat). Its description in RNAcentral is "partial small subunit ribosomal RNA". The record is from RNAcentral. Lineage: Eukaryota; Viridiplantae; Streptophyta; Magnoliopsida; Poales; Poaceae.